GUAAGGAAUAUUGCACAAUGGGCGCAAGCCUGAUGCAGCAACGCCGCGUGCGGGACGAAGGUCUUCGGAUCGUAAACCGCUUUUCUGGGGGAAGAGUAAGGACGGUACCCCAGGAAGAAGUCUCGGCUAACUACGUGCCAGCAGCCGCGGUAAAACGUAGGAGGCAAGCGUUAUCCGGAUUUACUGGGCGUAAAGCGCGUGCAGGCGGCGGGAUAAGUGGUGCGUGAAAGCUCCCAGGCUUAACCGGGAGAGGACGUGCCAGACUGCCCCGCUGGAGUCAGGUAGAGGCAAGUGGAAUUCCGGGUGUAGUGGUGAAAUGCGUAGAGAUCCGGAGGAACACCAGUGGCGAAGGCGGCUUGCUGGACCUGAACUGACGCUCAGACGCGAAAGCAUGGGGAGCGAACGGGAUUAGAAACCCCGGUAGUCC
This 427-nucleotide ribosomal RNA is filed under the name uncultured bacterium. RNAcentral's name for it is "bacterial SSU rRNA". It matches the Rfam family "Bacterial small subunit ribosomal RNA", at positions 354 to 796 of the family's 1533-position model. The record is from RNAcentral.